This 810-nucleotide long non-coding RNA is filed under the name Homo sapiens (human). RNAcentral describes it as "HSALNT0363610". The record is from RNAcentral. Lineage: Eukaryota; Metazoa; Chordata; Mammalia; Primates; Hominidae.
AUGGGUGGGACACAAAGGCCUCCAGCCUUCUCUUUCGCUCUGAGUCACCGGGCACCCUACCUAUUUAUCCCUGGAACAAGUUUAGUUCCCGCAGACGAUCACAGUGCAUCCCCUUCGUCCCCACCUAGCUGGGAGUGACUCAGCUGGGUGACUUGUCAACUCCAUGUAAAAUCUCAGGCCCAGCCCCUGGGAGGGGUUCCAGUUCCAUCUCUGGCAUUUCAUUAAAGUUGGGACCAUCUUUCUCCGGCUUUUUGCAGCCAGGCUCAAAUCAGAUAAACUCCUUUGUUCUUCGUGGAACUGACAAGCAGUUAAAACCCCAUUAUUAUGCUAUAAUUUCAGAAAAUGGAUCCAAGUGAAUAGCUAAAUAGGGCUCAAGGCUGCUUAAUGAGACAUCUUAUUUGAGGCUUUCAAAUGUCAGAAAUUCCAGACAGCAGCAAGCUGAAGUCUCUGGGACCAACGUGUCAGCUCCAGGAAAGCUGGACCCCACGGUGCAGUGGAAGCAAAGAUUAAAACAGCAGGCUGGAGGAGCAGAAAUGUGAACAGCUGGAGGCCGGAAAAGAAAGGACACAAGCGGAGAAGAAACACCAGAGGAAAAAUAAUCCCUUAGAGGGUAAAGAACAAAUAAUUGAAUAAGGGAUUAAAAAACACACAAGGAGAGAUCCCUGGUAAUUACCCUUGACAGCCAGUGUGAAAAGGGCCCGGGAUGGGGGCUUUGUCCCUCCCCUCUCCGCUCACACCUCUCAGCCGCAGUAGGUUCUUUCCUGUUGCUCCUGUCUUGAUUUAGAAUAAGCUCCUUUUCUCUAAAGCAAA